UAGAGAUUCUUGUUUAUCUUAGUGGCGGACGGGUGAGUAACGCGUGAGCAACCUGCCUUUCAGAGGGGGAUAACGUCUUGAAAAGGACGCUAAUACCGCAUGAUAUUAUGGAGCCACAUGGCUCUAUAAUCAAAGGAGCAAUCCGCUGAAAGAUGGACUCGCGUCCGAUUAGCUAGUUGGCGGGAUAAAGGCCCACCAAGGCGACGAUCGGUAGCCGGACUGAGAGGUUGAACGGCCACAUUGGGACUGAGACACGGCCCAGACUCC
RNAcentral lists this ribosomal RNA (267 nucleotides) under uncultured Oscillospiraceae bacterium. RNAcentral describes it as "partial 16S ribosomal RNA". It matches the Rfam family "Bacterial small subunit ribosomal RNA", at positions 73 to 339 of the family's 1533-position model. Lineage: Bacteria; Bacillati; Bacillota; Clostridia; Eubacteriales; Oscillospiraceae. The record is from RNAcentral.